This 253-nucleotide ribosomal RNA is filed under the name uncultured bacterium. Its description in RNAcentral is "partial 16S ribosomal RNA". It matches the Rfam family "Bacterial small subunit ribosomal RNA", at positions 524 to 776 of the family's 1533-position model. The record is from RNAcentral.
UACAGAGGGUGCGAGCGUUGUCCGGAAUCACUGGGCGUAAAGGGCGCGUAGGCGGCCUGAUAAGUAGGGGGUGAAAUCUUGCGGCUCAACCGCAAGGCUGCCUUCUAAACUGUCAGGCUGGAGCACGGUAGAGGCAGAUGGAAUUCCCGGUGUAGCGGUGGAAUGCGUAGAGAUCGGGAAGAACACCAGUGGCGAAGGCGGUCUGCUGGGCCGUUGCUGACGCUGAGGUGCGAAAGCGUGGGGAGCAAACAGG